Molecule: ribosomal RNA, 483 nt
Filed under: uncultured bacterium
Lineage: Bacteria
Description: partial 16S ribosomal RNA
Rfam family: Bacterial small subunit ribosomal RNA
Source: RNAcentral
GACGAACGCUGGCGGCGUGCUUAACACAUGCAAGUCGAACGAUGAAGCGGGUGCUUGCACUCGUGGAUUAGAGGCGAACGGGCGAGUAACACGUGAGUAACCUGUCCUUUUCUUUGGGAUAACAGCUGGAAACGGCUGCUAAUACUGGAUAUUCAGUCUGCAUCGCCUGGGGUGGUUUGGAAAGGACGUUUUUGGGGUUGGGUGGGCCCGUGGCCUAUCAGCUUGAUGGUGGGGUGAUGGCUUAGCAAGGCUUUGACGGGUAGCCGGGCUGAGCGGGUGGGCUGGCGCACUGGGACGGAGCUACGGCCCAGACUACGACGCGAGGCAGCAGUGGGGAAUAUUGCACAAUGGAUGAAAGUGUGAUGCAGCGUCGCCGCGUGGAGGGUGUAGGUCUUCGGGUUGUGAUAUCCUGUUUCUAGCGAAAAAGGCAUAGCUUUGGCUGUGUUGAUGGUAGUGGGGGAAGAAGCGCCGGCUAACUACGUG